CCGCAUGGGGAUAUUUGCUAAAGAUUCAUCGCUGAUAGAUAGGCAUGCGUUCCAUUAGGCAGUUGGCGGGGUAACGGCCCACCAAACCGACGAUGGAUAGGGGUUCUGAGAGGAAGGUCCCCCACAUUGGUACUGAGACACGGACCAAACUCCUACGGGAGGCAGCAGUGAGGAAUAUUGGUCAAUGGGCGUAAGCCUGAACCAGCCAAGUCGCGUGAGGGAUGAAGGCUCUAUGGAUCGUAAACCUCUUUUAUAAGGGAAUAAAGUGUGGGACGUGUCCUGUUUUGUAUGUACCUUAUGAAUAAGGAUCGGCUAACUCCGUGCCAGCAGCCGCGGUAAUACGGAGGAUCCGAGCGUUAUCCGGAUUUAUUGGGUUUAAAGGGUGCGUAGGCGGCCUUUUAAGUCAGCGGUGAAAGUCUGUGGCUCAACCAUAGAAUUGCCGUUGAAACUGGGAGGCUUGAGUAUGUUUGAGGCAGGCGGAAUGCGUGGUGUAGCGGUGAAAUGCUUAGAUAUCACGCAGAACCCCGAUUGCGAAGGCAGCCUGCCAAGCCAUGACUGACGCUGAUGCACGAAAGCGUGGGGAUCAAACAGGAUUAGAUACCCUGGUAGUCCACGCAGUAAACGAUGAUCACUAGCUGUUUGCGAUACAGUGUAAGCGGCACAG
RNAcentral lists this ribosomal RNA (664 nucleotides) under uncultured bacterium. RNAcentral describes it as "bacterial SSU rRNA". It matches the Rfam family "Bacterial small subunit ribosomal RNA", at positions 186 to 851 of the family's 1533-position model. The record is from RNAcentral.